GACGAACGCUGGCGGCGUGCUUAACACAUGCAAGUCGAACGGAAAGGCCCUGCUUGCAGGGUACUCGAGUGGCGAACGGGUGAGUAACACGUGGGUGAUCUGCCCUGCACUUCGGGAUAAGCCUGGGAGACUGGGUCUAAUACCGGAUAGGAGCCAUUUUUAGUGUGAUGGUUGGAAAGUUUUUUCGGUGUAGGAUGAGCUCGCGGCCUAUCAGCUUGUUGGUGGGGUAAUGGCCUACCAAGGCGGCGACGGGUAGCCGGCCUGAGAGGGUGGACGGCCACAUUGGGACUGAGAUACGGCCCAGACUCCUACGGGAGGCAGCAGGGGGGAAUAUUGCACAAGGGGCGCAAGCCUGAUGCAGGGACGCCGCGGGGGGGAUGACGGCCUUCGGGUUGUAAACUCCUUUCGCUAGGGACGAAGCUUUUUGUGACGGUACCUAGAUAAGAAGCACCGGCUAACUACGUG
RNAcentral lists this ribosomal RNA (465 nucleotides) under uncultured bacterium. RNAcentral's name for it is "partial 16S ribosomal RNA". It matches the Rfam family "Bacterial small subunit ribosomal RNA", at positions 28 to 507 of the family's 1533-position model. The record is from RNAcentral.